ACAUCGUAGGAAACGAGGUGACUAACUACCGCAAUAACAAACGAAACCACUAUGUUUUCGUUUCAAAGAUGGUUUCGGCUAUCACUUCAGGAUGGGCCCGCGGUGCAUUAGCUAGUUGGUAGGGUAACGGCUUACCAAGGCAAUGAUGCAUAGCCGAGUUGAGAGACUGAUCGGCCACAAUGGAACUGAGACACGGUCCAUACUCCUACGGGAGGCAGCAGUAGGGAAUCUUCCACAAUGGGCGCAAGCCUGAUGGAGCAACACCGCGUGAGUGAAGAAGGGUUUCGGCUCGUAAAGCUCUGUUGUUGGAGAAGAACGUGCGUGAGAGUAACUGUUCACGCAGUGACGGUAUCCAACCAGAAAGUCACGGCUAACUACGUGCC
This 383-nucleotide ribosomal RNA is filed under the name uncultured bacterium. RNAcentral's name for it is "bacterial SSU rRNA". It matches the Rfam family "Bacterial small subunit ribosomal RNA", at positions 144 to 509 of the family's 1533-position model. The record is from RNAcentral.